GCUCUCACUCGAAUCAACAAAUUUCUCUGGGUCUCCUCGCACAGAAAUCCAAAACCAACCUGGAUAUACCAUAUGCUUCUGGAGGUUUCUUCUUUCUUCUACAGCCAAAGAAUUGACUUGCGCCGGUUUCUUCUUUCUUCUUUAGCCAUAUAACCAAGAUUGAGAGAGUGGAUUGUUGCUCCUGCAAAUCAUUCCUUGCUUUUGAUCUGCGAAUUUCUAUUUGGUUCCUGCAGUCCCUUUUUUUUCCCUUUUCUCGCUCUCCUCACUGUGAACUCUUUACCUGAUUUCUUCAAAUCAGUGUAUAUGUGAUUGAUUUAGGAAUUGGGCUCUGCUAUUGCAUUAAGUAUCAAAACCAGGGACUCAGGCGUUGCUGAGAUUGUUAUUCAUUUUGAAAUUUUGGAUUUUCAAAGGAGAUGAGGGCAGUGUGUAAACAAAUUGACUGAGACCUGGCUGAGAUUGUUUUUGAUUUUGAACGAAUCUGUAAAUAAUUUUCUACAGAGUUUUCAAGGAGGAGCAACGCAUUAUCAAAUUAAAGGGACUGAGGGAUCAACUGAGAAGGAGGGGAUAGAUUUUAUCACAUUCUUGGCCUGAUUUUUCUAAGGUUGAAUUGCUCCCAAAAGGCUUGGAAAUCUGGUUUCAAUUGCUCACAAUACGCUUGGAAAUCUGGUUUCUUUCACAGAAGUCUUUGCAAAACCUUGGGCACUUCAAUAGAGAAGAGAAGGCGGCAAAUCAGUUUGAUCUCCAAUUUGACAAGUGAGAUGCCAUCAAGCUGUACUGCAUCAAUCAGGCUCUGAGAUACAGAGGUUGGGUUGAAAACAAGUACGAAAUUUCACCAUCUACGGGUACUGGAGAAUCUCACUGUUUUUGCUUCCUUCAUUGGUCAAUUCGACCAGAGACUGAGAUUGGUAGAACUUUAGAAUGGCAAUGAUGCACUGAACCUUUGGAGAGAUCCAAGAUUUUGGUCAAUUUUUUGGAGGAAGCUUUAGCUUUGUUUCAGAAGAAGUGGCUGCUAAAAUUUUGAUCCAAAACUGUUUUAUCCAGUUAUUUAAAAUUCUGCUCUUGAGUGAGUUUUUUCUUUCUAAAUUUUGU
Rosa chinensis is the source of this 1089-nucleotide long non-coding RNA. RefSeq lists it as uncharacterized. The transcript has 7 exons. Lineage: Eukaryota; Viridiplantae; Streptophyta; Magnoliopsida; Rosales; Rosaceae. The record is from RefSeq and is a predicted model, not a curated record.